Molecule: transfer RNA, 72 nt
Filed under: Trichobilharzia regenti
Lineage: Eukaryota; Metazoa; Platyhelminthes; Trematoda; Strigeidida; Schistosomatidae
Rfam family: tRNA
About the family: Transfer RNA (tRNA) molecules are approximately 80 nucleotides in length.
Source: Rfam by way of RNAcentral
UCCCGCGUGGUCCAGCGGUAAGGAUUCCUGGCUUUCAUUCAGGCGGUCUGGAUUCGACUCCCGAUGCCGGAG